Molecule: ribosomal RNA, 497 nt
Filed under: uncultured bacterium
Lineage: Bacteria
Description: partial 16S ribosomal RNA
Rfam family: Bacterial small subunit ribosomal RNA
Source: RNAcentral
GAUGAACGCUGGCGGCGUGCCUAAUACAUGCAAGUCGAGCGAACAGAUGAGGAGCUUGCUCCGCUGACGUUAGGGGCGGGGGGGAGAGUAACACGAGUAUAACGUCCUUAAAAGAUUGGGAAAACUGCGUGAAAGCGGAGCUUAUACGGGAUAAUCUACUGCUCCGCAUGGUUCACUAGUGAAUGUCGGCUUUGCUGUCACUGAUAGAGGGUUCCGCGCCGCAUUAGCUAGUAGGUUAGGUCACGGCUUACCAAGGCAACGAAUAGUGGCCGAACUGGGAGGGGGAUCGGCUACACUGGAACUGGGACACGCUCCAGACUCCUAAGGGAGGCAGCAGUAGCGAAUCGGCCGCAAUGGGCGAAAACCUGACGGAGCGACGCCGCGUGAGUGAUGAAGGUGUUGGGAGCGUAAAAAUCUGUUAUUGGUGAAGAACAGCUUUGGAAGGAGAUAUGCAGGUAUUGACGGUACCGAGUCAAAAAGCAACGGCUAACUACGUG